Molecule: long non-coding RNA, 3089 nt
Organism: Alnus glutinosa
Lineage: Eukaryota; Viridiplantae; Streptophyta; Magnoliopsida; Fagales; Betulaceae
Exons: 3
Source: RefSeq, a predicted model, not a curated record
AAUUGCACUCUUCACUGAUACUUAAGAACUUAAAAUUUUCAGUUCGUUCAUUUAGUUGCGACUUCUUAUGCACAGAUUGAAACUUUCUUCAGCAUUGUCGUUUAUUAUCAUUUGGAAUGUGUAACUGCUGUAUCGUAUUGUUGAUUGUGGCUGGCUGAUUCUUGGUUUCACUACUCUUGUCAUUCCAAAAAAGGUGUGAAGAAUUUGGUGCUAGAAUAUCUCAAAGAGGGCGGAGAUAUUGAUUGGGGCUUUCUUUUUCCUGUUCUCCAGAGUUUGAUGUGGCUAUAAGUUCUCUUUUCCUUCGAUUCCGAAGUGAUUCUUUUUGCUUGUUCUAAUUUUCUUUGUUCUUGCUUUAAUGUUGCGGCUGCUACUACUUUUGUUUGGCAGUACGUCAUGUCGUCGCGGUUUUAUUGGUAUUUAAGUUCACUCCUGGGGGCGAAUAAUCAUUUUGCGGCCUUUGGACUUCAGUUUCUGCGCAGAACAAUCUUUUGAAAGUAAAAACACUGGUUUUGGCUUUACCAUUUUGUGAUUGACAUUUAGGCAUUUUGAUAUUUUGAUUGAUUUAAGUUAAGAUUGCUGGAUUUGCGUCACCAAUUGGUAAUUUCAGAUUAAUUAACAUUGAAUUACUCGGAGUAAGUUGGUGGGCAUGUGAACCAGGUCCGUAGUCUCAAGAUUUUCCAGUUCUGUGAGGAUAUUUGAGUACGGAGUAACAUAUGCUUCUGCCGGUGAUAUUUGCUUUCUGGUUUUGUGAUGUGUAGUUUCCAAUUCCUUGAAGUUUUAUGGUAUACGGACGAGGAAGGUGUUUGAAAAUAUCGUUGAUGUUGGGCAUGUCGACUUGGUCUGCAAUUUGAUGUUUUUCCAGUUUUGGGCGGGUAUUUGAGCACAGAGUGACAUAUGCUUUUGCCGUUGAUAUUUGUUUUCGGGUUUUGUGACUUGUAGUUUCCUAUUCCAUGAAGUUUUUCUGAAACUGAUGAGGAAGGUGUUUGAAAAUAUGUCGAUGACCAGUUCUCAGGUGGAGGUUGUGAUUUGGGCUUUCUCGUGCUUGAGCUAGAGUUCUUGAAGUUGGUCUUUCUUCAGAAAUAAGUGAAAAUGAUUUUUCUUCUCCCCCUCUUUAUUUCACACGUUGUUUCGAAGUCUACUCUUUGCUGUUCUCUCGGACAUGUUCCCAUUCCUUGUUUUGAUUUAUUUUAUAGGUUUUGCUGUUCAUCGGCUUUUUACAACUUUGGGUACUUGGAAAGUUGAAUUCUCGACGUUGGUUUGUUUUUGUUUUUUAAAAUCAUCCUCUAAAUGUUGUCUCUUUACGGUUAUCUUGCUUGGUUAUCAUUAAUUUAAAAGUUUCCAUUGCUUCGUAUUUGACGUUUUGUGCUUGGAUGAUGUGUAUUUCAGGUUGCGGUUGCGCAAUUUUUUAUCAAUAUCAGCUGCGCUCAGCAUGUUUGUUCUGGUUUUUGUUUCUACCAGCAUCUAAUUGCACUCUUCAAUGAUUUUUAAGAACUUUAAAUUUUCAAUUCGUUCAUUUAGUGGGGCCUUCUCAUGCACAGAUUGAAUCGUUCUUCAGCAUUGUCGUUUAUUAUCAUUUGGAAUGUAUAACUGCUGUAUCGUAUUGUUGAUUGUGGCUGGCUGAUUCUUGGUUUCACUACUCUUGUAAUUCUGAAGAAGGUGUGAAGAAUUUCGUGAAACUAUAUCUGCAAAGAGGGCGGAGAUAUUGAUUGGGGCUUUCUUUUUCCUGGUCGACAGAGUUUGAUGUGGCAUUAAGUGCUCUUUUCCUCUCGAUUUCGAAGUGAUUCUUUUUGCUUGUUCUAAUGUUCUUUGUUCUUGCUUUAAUGUUGCGGUUGCUACUACUUUUGUUUGGCAGUACGUCAUGUCGUCGCGGUUUUAUUGGUAUUUAAGUUCACUCCUCAGGGCGAAUAACCAUUUUGCGGCCUUUGGACUUGUGCGCAAAACCAUCUUUUGAUGAUUAAUGCUUAUUGAAUUUCACGAAGUAAGUCGGUGGGUAUGUGAACAAGUUUCCAAUUCCUUGAAGUUUUAUGGUAUACGGACGAGGAAGGUGUUUGAAAAUAUCGUUGAUGUUGGGCAUGUCGACUUGGUCUGCAAUUUGAAGUUUUUCCAGUUUUGGGCGGGUAUUUGAGCACAGAGUGACAUAUGCUUCUGCCGUUGAUAUUUGUUUUCGGGUUUUGUGACUCGUAGUUUCCUAUUUAAGUUUUUGGGAUACUGAUGAGGAUGGUGUUUGAAAAUAUGUGGUUGACCUGUUGACAGGUGGAGGUUGUGAUUUGGGAUUUCUUGUGUUUGGGCAGGAGUGAUUGAAUUUGUUCUUUCUGCAAAAAUAAGUGAAAAUGCUUUUUCUUCUCCCCCCCUCUUUAUUUCACACGUUGUUUAGAAGUCUCUACGAUAUGCUGUUCUCUCAGAAAUGUCCCCAUUCCUUGUUUUGUUUUAUUUUGUAGGUUUUGCUGUGCAUCGGCUUUUUACAACUUUGGGUUCUUGCAAAGUUGGAUUCUCGAUGUUGGUUUGUUUUUGAUUUUUAAAAUCAUUCCUAAAUAUUGUAUCGUUAUGGUUAGCUGUCUUGGUUGUCAUUAAUUUAAAAGUUUCCAUUGCUUCGUAGUUCACGCUUGGUGCUUGGAUUGUGUGUAUUUCAGGUUGCGGUUGCGCAAUUUUUUAUGAAUAUCGGCGGUGCUCAGCAUGUUUGUUCUGGUUUUUGUUUCUUCCAGCAUCUAAUUGCACUCUUCACUGAUAUGCUUAAGAACUUAAAAUUUUCAGUUCGUUCAUUUAGUUGCGACUUCUUAUGCACAGAUUGAAACUUUCUUCAGCAUUGUCGUUUAUUAUCAUUUGGAAUGUGUAACUGCUGUAUCGUAUUGUUGAUUGUGGCUGGCUGAUUCUUGGUUUCACUACUCUUGUAAUUCUGAAGAAGGUGUGAAGAAUUUCGUGAAACUAUAUCUACAAAGAGGGUGGAGAUAUUGAUUGGGGCUUUCUUUUUCCUGGUCGACAGAGUUUGAUGUGGCUAUAAGUGCUCUUUUCCUCUCGAUUUCGAAGUGAUUCUUUUUGCUUGUUCUAAUGUUCUUUGUUCUUGCUUUAAUGUUGCGGUUGCUACUACUUUU